CGCUGGCGGCAGGCCUAACACAUGCAAGUCGAACGGUAACAGGAAGCAGCUUGCUGCUUCGCUGACGAGUGGCGGACGGGUGAGUAAUGUCUGGGAAACUGCCUGAUGGAGGGGGAUAACUACUGGAAACGGUAGCUAAUACCGCAUAACGUCGCAAGACCAAAGAGGGGGACCUUCGGGCCUCUUGCCAUCGGAUGUGCCCAGAUGGGAUUAGCUAGUAGGUGGGGUAACGGCUCACCUAGGCGACGAUCCCUAGCUGGUCUGAGAGGAUGACCAGCCACACUGGAACU
This 290-nucleotide ribosomal RNA is filed under the name Enterobacter cloacae. RNAcentral's name for it is "partial 16S rRNA". It matches the Rfam family "Bacterial small subunit ribosomal RNA", at positions 34 to 320 of the family's 1533-position model. The record is from RNAcentral. Lineage: Bacteria; Pseudomonadati; Pseudomonadota; Gammaproteobacteria; Enterobacterales; Enterobacteriaceae.